CUUCACCUGGUCCACUAGCU
RNAcentral lists this microRNA (20 nucleotides) under Ovis aries (sheep). RNAcentral describes it as "oar-miR-412-5p". Its record names the gene oar-miR-412-5p. Lineage: Eukaryota; Metazoa; Chordata; Mammalia; Artiodactyla; Bovidae. The record is from miRBase by way of RNAcentral.